Molecule: ribosomal RNA, 253 nt
Filed under: uncultured bacterium
Lineage: Bacteria
Description: partial 16S ribosomal RNA
Rfam family: Bacterial small subunit ribosomal RNA
Source: RNAcentral
GACAGAGGGUGCAAACGUUGUUCGGAAUUACUGGGCGUAAAGCGUGUGUAGGCGGCCGCGUAAGUCGGGUGUGAAAGCCCCAGGCUUAACCUGGGAAGUGCACUCGAAACUGCGUGGCUUGAGUAUCGGAGAGGUUGGUGGAAUUCUCGGUGUAGAGGUGAAAUUCGUAGAUAUCGAGAGGAACACCGGUGGCGAAGGCGGCCAACUGGACGAAUACUGACGCUGAGACACGAAAGCGUGGGGAGCAAACAGG